UAAGACGAACCGUGCGAACGUUGUUCGGAAUCACUGGGCUUAAAGGGCGCGUAGGCGGCUCGCCAAGUCAGGGGUGAAAUACUUCAGCUUAACUGGAGAAGUGCCCUUGAUACUGGCGGGCUCGAGGGAGGUAGGGGUCUGUGGAACUUCUGGUGGAGCGGUGAAAUGCGUUGAUAUCAGAAGGAACGCCGGUGGCGAAAGCGACGGACUGGACCUCUUCUGACGCUGAGGCGCGAAAGCUAGGGGAGCAAACGGGAUUAGAUACCCCGGUAGUCCUAGCCCUAAACGAUGGGUACUAGAUUGUAGACUUGACAUGGGUUUACAGUCGAAGCAAAAGUGUUAAGUACCCCGCCUGGGGAGUAUGGUCGCAAGGCUG
RNAcentral lists this ribosomal RNA (376 nucleotides) under uncultured bacterium. RNAcentral's name for it is "bacterial SSU rRNA". It matches the Rfam family "Bacterial small subunit ribosomal RNA", at positions 521 to 896 of the family's 1533-position model. The record is from RNAcentral.